RNAcentral lists this ribosomal RNA (220 nucleotides) under Aspergillus brasiliensis. Its description in RNAcentral is "partial 18S ribosomal RNA". It matches the Rfam family "Eukaryotic small subunit ribosomal RNA", at positions 1614 to 1831 of the family's 1831-position model. The record is from RNAcentral. Lineage: Eukaryota; Fungi; Ascomycota; Eurotiomycetes; Eurotiales; Aspergillaceae.
CUAGUAGGCACGAGUCAUCAGCUCGUGCCGAUUACGUCCCUGCCCUUUGUACACACCGCCCGUCGCUACUACCGAUUGAAUGGCUCGGUGAGGCCUCCGGACUGGCUCAGGAGGGUUGGCAACGACCCCCCCGAGCCGGAAAGCUGGUCAAACCCGGUCAUUUAGAGGAAGUAAAAGUCGUAACAAGGUUUCCGUAGGUGAACCUGCGGAAGGAUCAUUA